RNAcentral lists this long non-coding RNA (903 nucleotides) under Populus tremula. Its description in RNAcentral is "long non-coding RNA (PTRE_LNC000443)". Lineage: Eukaryota; Viridiplantae; Streptophyta; Magnoliopsida; Malpighiales; Salicaceae. The record is from RNAcentral.
GGUAUUGUUUUUUUUAAAGAAAACUCGGUGAUUUUGACAUCCAGUGUUGGUGAUUGAUUUCUGUCAGUUUUGGAUCUUUCCAGAUUUUAUAUUGUUUUUUGUGUUUAAAUGAAGUUUUUACUGUGCGUCGAGUGUGAAUCUGGUUUAAAGCUUUGGAUACCUUCAGAGAACUUUUAUCAAAGUUAAUUUUUCUUGCGACGGGGAAUCAGUAAGCUGAUGAAUCCUGGUGCUGUUAAUCAUGAAUCUAACCUCCACCUGUCUCUUUCUCUUUCUCUUUCUGACUUUCUGCACUUGCGUGUCAACCUUGUACGAUCCACAUGGUAGAUUCGAGCUGUGUUUUCUUGCACAAGCAGCAUCAGAAAAAUAUCGUUUCUUUAAUGUUGGCUUAAGAGAAAUUUUUGGACGGUGGUUAAGAAAAAGUAGAUCUAGCAUUCACGCUUUAACAUCGUGCAUUGACAUAUCUUUAUAGGUCAGGGGCUGCAUUGUCCUUACAGUCUGAGCUGUGUCCUGAUGUCGAUAUUUCAUCCUUGCCAAAGAUUUUGAUUCUAAAUCUCUCAGCUUGACAUAUGUUUUCCACAUGUUAAGUGCAGAUGAUGCAACAUUUGUGCAGAUUAUACUUUUCCGAAGUUUGGUAUAUUCAUUUUCUGGUUUCUCCUUUUGUUUUUACAGCACAGGGACAGGGAACACCCCAACAACCACCACUCCAAGCACAGGCACAACACCUACCGGCACCGGCACAACACCUACCGGCACAGGCACCAGCACAGGCACAGGCACCGGCACAGGCACAGGCACAGGCACACCUUCAUCUAUAAUUCCUACUCCUCCUUCAUCAGUGUUCAACUCAGGAUUGGGCCCAACUGGUUUCAAUGAUAAUAGUAGCGAGGCUCCUGCUUUUAAGGG